This 431-nucleotide ribosomal RNA is filed under the name uncultured bacterium. RNAcentral describes it as "partial 16S ribosomal RNA". It matches the Rfam family "Bacterial small subunit ribosomal RNA", at positions 29 to 507 of the family's 1533-position model. The record is from RNAcentral.
AGCGAACGCUGGCGGCAGGCUUAACACAUGCAAGUCGAGCGCCCCGCCAGGGGAGCGGCAGACGGGUGAGUAACACGUGGGAACGUACCCUUUGGUUCGGAACAACCCAGGGAAACUUGGGCUAAUACCGGAUAAGUCCGCGAGGAGAAAGAUUUAUCGCCGAAGGAUCGGCCCGCGUCUGAUUAGCUAGUUGGUGUGGUAACGGCGCACCAAGGCGACGAUCAGUAGCUGGUCUGAGAGGAUGAUCAGCCACACUGGGACUGAGACACGGCCCAGACUCCUACGGGAGGCAGCAGUGGGGAAUAUUGGACAAUGGGGGCAACCCUGAUUCAGCCAUGCCGCGUGAGUGAUGAAGGCCCUAGGGUUGUAAAGCUCUUUCGGUGGGGAAGAUAAUGACGGUACCCACAGAAGAAGCCCCGGCUAACUUCGUG